This 497-nucleotide ribosomal RNA is filed under the name uncultured bacterium. Its description in RNAcentral is "partial 16S ribosomal RNA". It matches the Rfam family "Bacterial small subunit ribosomal RNA", at positions 28 to 507 of the family's 1533-position model. The record is from RNAcentral.
GACGAACGCUGGCGGCGUGCCUAAUACAUGCAAGUUGAGCGCUGAAGGUUGGUACUUGUACCAACUGGAUGAGCAGCGAACGGGUGAGUAACGCGUGGGGAAUCUGCCUUUGAGCGGGGGACAACAUUUGGAAACGAAUGCUAAUACCGCAUAAAAACUUUAAACACAAGUUUUAAGUUUGAAAGAUGCAAUUGCAUCACUCAAAGAUGAUCCCGCGUUGUAUUAGCUAGUUGGUGAGGUAAAGGCUCACCAAGGCGAUGAUACAUAGCCGACCUGAGAGGGUGAUCGGCCACAUUGGGACUGAGACACGGCCCAAACUCCUACGGGAGGCAGCAGUAGGGAAUCUUCGGCAAUGGACGAAAGUCUGACCGAGCAACGCCGCGUGAGUGAAGAAGGUUUUCGGAUCGUAAAACCCUGUUGGUAGAGAAGAACGUUGGUGAGAGUGGAAAGCUCAUCAAGUGACGGUAACUACCCAGAAAGGGACGGCUAACUACGUG